GACGAAGGACCCGAGCGUUAUCCGGAUUCAUUGGGUUUAAAGGGUGCGUAGGCGGAAUGAUAAGUCAGUGGUGAAAGCCUGUUGCUUAACAACAGAACUGCCAUUGAUACUGUCGAUCUUGAAUAUGUUUGAUGUGGGCGGAAUAUGACAUGUAGCGGUGAAAUGCUUAGAUAUGUCAUAGAACACCGAUUGCGAAGGCAGCUCACAAAGCCAUUAUUGACGCUGAGGCACGAAAGCGUGGGGAUCAAACAGGAUUAGAAACCCCAGUAGUCC
This 273-nucleotide ribosomal RNA is filed under the name uncultured bacterium. Its description in RNAcentral is "partial 16S ribosomal RNA". It matches the Rfam family "Bacterial small subunit ribosomal RNA", at positions 524 to 796 of the family's 1533-position model. The record is from RNAcentral.